GCUCAGGAUGAACGCUGGCGGCGUGCCUAAUACAUGCAAGUCGAACGCACAGCGAAAGGUGCUUGCACCUUUCAAGUGAGUGGCGAACGGGUGAGUAACACGUGGACAACCUGCCUCAAGGCUGGGGAUAACAUUUGGAAACAGAUGCUAAUACCGAAUAAAACUUAGUGUCGCAUGACACAAAGUUAAAAGGCGCUUCGGCGUCACCUAGAGAUGGAUCCGCGGUGCAUUAGUUAGUUGGUGGGGUAAAGGCCUACCAAGACAAUGAUGCAUAGCCGAGUUGAGAGACUGAUCGGCCACAUUGGGACUGAGACACGGCCCAAACUCCUACGGGAGGCUGCAGUAGGGAAUCUUCCACAAUGGGCGAAAGCCUGAUGGAGCAACGCCGCGUGUGUGAUGAAGGCUUUCGGGUCGUAAAGCACUGUUGUAUGGGAAGAACAGCUAGAAUAGGAAAUGAUUUUAGUUUGACGGUACCAUACCAGAAAGGGACGGCUAAAUACGUGCCAGCAGCCGCGGUAAUACGUAUGUCCCGAGCGUUAUCCGGAUUUAUUGGGCGUAAAGCGAGCGCAGACGGUUKAUUAAGUCUGAUGUGAAAGCCCGGAGCUCAACUCCGGAAUGGCAUUGGAAACUGGUUAACUUGAGUGCAGUAGAGGUAAGUGGAACUCCAUGUGUAGCGGUGGAAUGCGUAGAUAUAUGGAAGAACACCAGUGGCGAAGGCGGCUUACUGGACUGCAACUGACGUUGAGGCUCGAAAGUGUGGGUAGCAAACAGGAUUAGA
RNAcentral lists this ribosomal RNA (778 nucleotides) under Leuconostoc mesenteroides. RNAcentral's name for it is "bacterial SSU rRNA". It matches the Rfam family "Bacterial small subunit ribosomal RNA", at positions 22 to 782 of the family's 1533-position model. Lineage: Bacteria; Bacillati; Bacillota; Bacilli; Lactobacillales; Lactobacillaceae. The record is from RNAcentral.